ACCCUCUGAAAGUUAUCCAUGGCACUGUCUGUUACUGUGGGUAAGAUUAGUGUGCCUACAUUAAAUGGUACACUAAAGCUUAUUGCCUACUUCUAUAUUGUUUGUGGUCAAUAAAACCCGUGUGCCAAUAAAU
Molecule: small nucleolar RNA, 133 nt
Organism: Rhincodon typus (whale shark)
Lineage: Eukaryota; Metazoa; Chordata; Chondrichthyes; Orectolobiformes; Rhincodontidae
Product: small nucleolar RNA ACA64
Exons: 1
Source: RefSeq, a predicted model, not a curated record